Molecule: long non-coding RNA, 1013 nt
Filed under: Leguminivora glycinivorella
Lineage: Eukaryota; Metazoa; Arthropoda; Insecta; Lepidoptera; Tortricidae
Description: uncharacterized LOC125237241
Source: RNAcentral
UACAAUAGGUAUUAAAAAUACAAACAUUUAAUUAUUAAAACAUAAUAUAAAAAUUAUCGUUUACCACGAAAUGGUCCCGCCUCAGCAUAAUGCUAACCAUACAGUCAGCGCUGGUCUUCCGGCGACACCAUUUGUGGGCCACGGACGCAAACGUGCAACACGGCCUUAAUAUAACUUGAACGCGCCCAUUUGUCAUUCUUGGGUCGACGCCAUCUUGUUGCGCCUGCGCGCUGCACGAUGGGUUAGGUGUCAUGAUGACAUUCAUAUGACAUUUGAGAACUGAGAAAACGAAAACCAUGUUGCACGUUUCACGAUUGAUAUAAAAUUACAAUUCUACAUUUCAAACAGUUCAAUCUGCUAAAAAAGUAAUAACUACAUGGAACAAGCAUAACGUUAACUCGUUACACGGAAAAAUAAGUGCAAUAAUACAUUGAUUAAGUUCUUUGUUACAAAAGCGUUUACGUUGCCGAAGCGUGUGUGCUCCGAAGUGCCAAGAAACAAUAUGCAUACAGUUAUCACCUAUAUAAGUGACGAUUGGGUUACAACAAUUAUACCCACAAGUUACGAUGCGGCAAUAAAUUGCGAAAACGCGGACACGAGAUCAACAAGUGCGCUUUGGCUGUGUCUGUAAAGAAAGGACAUAAAACAGGUUCCUGAGGGGAGGAGGAAUGUUGUUCCAGCAGCGACUGGCCAAGUACUUAAAACUACCACGAAAUGCUGCUGAGGUGUGUCGAGGCGUCACCAGUUGAACACUGCAGUUACGAGCCCCUAACGAUCUACGAGUGGACAUCCAUGAUAGCUUCUCAAAAAGAUAUGACGGAGAUUUGUAUUUAAUCGUACCAAAAAGAAGACAAGCCAGAUGAAGUUUGCGACGGUGCAACAUUUUAAGAAUGUUAUGAUCAUUCAAAAACGGAGUUACAUGGGCUCUUGGUGGGAUAUUGAAGCAGUAACGAGCACACGCAUUUUGUACCCGCUGAAUGAGUCGUUUCGUUUUUGCUAGGAGACAAGAACCA